This 448-nucleotide ribosomal RNA is filed under the name uncultured bacterium. RNAcentral's name for it is "partial 16S ribosomal RNA". It matches the Rfam family "Bacterial small subunit ribosomal RNA", at positions 330 to 794 of the family's 1533-position model. The record is from RNAcentral.
GCCAGACUCCUACGGGAGGCAGCAGUGGGGAAUAUUGCACAAUGGGGGAAACCCUGAUGCAGCGACGCCGCGUGAGCGAUGAAGUAUUUCGGUAUGUAAAGCUCUAUCAGCAGGGAAGAAAAUGACGGUACCUGACUAAGAAGCCCCGGCUAACUACGUGCCAGCAGCCGCGGUAAUACGUAGGGGGCAAGCGUUAUCCGGAUUUACUGGGUGUAAAGGGGGCGCAGACGGCAGCGCAAGCCAGGAGUGAAAGCCCGGGGCCCAACCCCGGGACUGCUCUUGGAACUGCGCGGCUGGAGUGCAGGAGGGGCAGGCGGAAUUCCUGGUGUAGCGGUGAAAUGCGUAGAUAUCAGGAGGAACACCGGUGGCGAAGGCGGCCUGCUGGACUGCAACUGACGUUGAGGCCCGAAAGCGUGGGGAGCAAACAGGAUUAGAUACCCCAGUACGU